CUUGGUGUGUUAUACUUGUAGCACAGACCCCCUAUCAGAUUCCUGUCCAUCCCCUGCUGCUACAGCCUGCUCUGAUGGUCAAGUGUGUGCAACUCAGAAAAUGAUUUCUAUAGCAAAGAACAUCAUCUCCUACAAUUUGAGAAGAUUCUGUGCCCCACCAAGUGAAUGCAAUGUGACUGGGACAUUCACCUACUACAACACAGCAGAGAG
This is a long non-coding RNA of Bufo bufo (common toad), 210 nucleotides long. RefSeq lists it as uncharacterized. NCBI's taxonomy places the organism in Eukaryota, Metazoa, Chordata, Amphibia, Anura, Bufonidae. The record is from RefSeq and is a predicted model, not a curated record. The transcript has 3 exons.